This 424-nucleotide ribosomal RNA is filed under the name uncultured prokaryote. RNAcentral's name for it is "bacterial SSU rRNA". It matches the Rfam family "Bacterial small subunit ribosomal RNA", at positions 355 to 796 of the family's 1533-position model. The record is from RNAcentral.
UGGGGAAUCUUGGACAAUGGGGGGAACCCUGAUCCAGCCAUGCCGCGUGAACGAUGAAGGCCUUAGGGUUGUAAAGUUCUUUCGCCGGGGAAGAUAAUGACGGUACCCGGUAAAGAAACCCCGGCUAACUCCGUGCCAGCAGCCGCGGUAAUACGGAGGGGGUUAGCGUUGUUCGGAAUUACUGGGCGUAAAGCGCGCGUAGGCGGAUUUGUCAGUCAGAGGUGAAAUCCCGGGGCUCAACCCCGGAACUGCCUUUGAUACUGCAAGUCUAGAGGACGAGAGAGGUGAGUGGAAUUCCGAGUGUAGAGGUGAAAUUCGUAGAUAUUCGGAGGAACACCAGUGGCGAAGGCGGCUCACUGGCUCGACCCUGACGCUGAGGUGCGAAAGUGUGGGGAGCAAACAGGAUUAGAUACCCCCGUAGUCC